UAGUUAAGGUGAUGGCUUAACUAGCCUAAAACUCUCGUAGUCGAAGCUGAAAGGUUGAUCGACCACAUUGGGUCUGAAAAAACCCCAAUGCAAGUUAGUACAGCAGUGAGGAAUUUUGGUCAAUGGCCUAACGGCUGAACUGGCAACUUGGAGAAGUGGCAAGUCUUAUUUUGAUUAUAUCUUUGAAUAUGAUCUAUAGGAUUGUAUUAAAAUUGAAUAAAGCUUUGUUUAUAUAUUGAUAAUGACAGUAUAUAUACCGUGUCUUGACUAAUUGCGUGCCAGCAGUCGCGGUAAUACGUAAGAGACUAGUGUUAUUCAUCUUAAUUAGGUUUAAAGGGUACCUAGACGGUCAAUAUAUCUUCUAUAAUGUUAGUACUUGACUAGAGUUUUAUGUAAGAGGGCAGUACUUGAGGAGGAGAGAUGAAAUUCUAUGAUACCAAAGGGACUCGGUAAAGGCGAAGGCAGCCCUCUAUGUAAAAACUGACGUUAAAGGACGAAGGCACAGAGCACAAACAGGAUUAGAUACCCAAGUAGUCUUUGCAGUA
This 545-nucleotide ribosomal RNA is filed under the name Trichoderma strictipile. Its description in RNAcentral is "SSU rRNA". It matches the Rfam family "Bacterial small subunit ribosomal RNA", at positions 249 to 804 of the family's 1533-position model. The record is from RNAcentral. Lineage: Eukaryota; Fungi; Ascomycota; Sordariomycetes; Hypocreales; Hypocreaceae.